AGAGUUUGAUCCUGGCUCAGAACGAACGCUGGCGGCAGGCCUAACACAUGCAAGUCGAACGAUAUAGUGGCAGACGGGUGAGUAACGCGUGGGAACGUACCUUUCACUACGGAAUAGCUCCGAGAAAUUGGUGGUAAUACCGUAUACGCCCUCAGGGGGAAAGAUUUAUCGGUGAAAGAUCGGCCCGCGUUGGAUUAGCUAGUUGGUGAGGUAAUGGCUCACAAAGGCGACGAUCCAUAGCUGGUCUGAGAGGAUGAUCAGCCACACUGGGACUGAGACACGGCCCAGACUCCUACGGGAGGCAGCAGUGGGGAAUCUUGCACAAUGGGCGAAAGCCUGAUGCAGCCAUGCCGCGUGAAUGAUGAAGGCCUUAGGGUUGUAAAAUUCUUUCGUCAGGGAUGAUAAUGACCGUACCUGAAGAAGAAGCCCCGGCUAACUUCGUGCCAGCAGCCGCGGUAAUACGAAGGGGGCUAGCGUUGUUCGGAAUUACUGGGCGUAAAGCGCACGUAGGCGGACUUUUAAGUCAGGUGUGAAAUCCCGGGGCUCAACCUCGGAACUGCAUUUGAAACUGGAAGUCUUGAGACCAGGAGAGGUUAGCGGAAUACCGAGUGUAGAGGUGAAAUUCGUAGAUAUUCGGUGGAACACCAGUGGCGAAGGCGGCUAACUGGACUGGUACUGACGCUGAGGUGCGAAAGUGUGGGGAGCAAACAGGAUUAGAUACCCUGGUAGUCCACACCGUAAACGAUGAGAGCUAGUUGUUGGCAGGCAUGCCUGUCGGUGACGCAGCUAACGCAUUAAGC
Molecule: ribosomal RNA, 800 nt
Filed under: uncultured bacterium
Lineage: Bacteria
Description: bacterial SSU rRNA
Rfam family: Bacterial small subunit ribosomal RNA
Source: RNAcentral